This 449-nucleotide ribosomal RNA is filed under the name uncultured archaeon. RNAcentral's name for it is "bacterial SSU rRNA". It matches the Rfam family "Archaeal small subunit ribosomal RNA", at positions 553 to 997 of the family's 1478-position model. The record is from RNAcentral.
GAUAGCUCAACUAUAGGCUUCGGGGGAUACUGCCAGACUUGGAACCGGGAGAGGUAAGAGGUACUACAGGGGUAGGAGUGAAAAGUCUUGUAAUCCCUGUGGGACCACCUGUGGCGAAGGCGUCUUACCAGAACGGGUUCGACGGUGAGGGACGAAAGCUGGGGGCACGAACCGGAUUAGAUACCCGGGUAGUUCCCAGCCGUAACGAUGCUCGCUAGGUGUCAGGCAUGGCGCGACCGUGUCUGGUGCCGCAGGGAAGCCGUGAAGCGAGCCACCUGGGAAGUACGGCCGCAAGGCUGAAACUUAAAGGAAUUGGCGGGGGAGCACAACAACGGGGUUAGGAGCCUGCGGUUUAAUUGGACUCAACGCCGGACAACUCACCGGGGGCGACAGCAAUAAUGUAGGCCAAGCUGAAGACUUUGCCUGAAUCGCUGAGUAGAGGUGCAUGG